UCAAUUUCGACUACGACCUCGACUACGACAUAUAAAUUUGCCGCAAGCAUUGAAAAUUUGUGCCUUUUUAUCCUCGUUAUACCAUGCAUUCCAUGAUAUGAAAUCACAGUUGUAAAGAUAAGACUACCUGCUACAAUGCCGACAGCAAUGGCUGAAAAUACGGCAAAUUUUGAACGUCAAGUCAGUCAUGGCGCGCCGAUUUCAUUUAAUCGUGUCGAGCCGGAGGUGCCGUCAGAAGAACACGAAGAAAUGAAUAAGAUGGCGCAUGAUGUCUCAGAAACACUAAG
Molecule: non-coding RNA, 287 nt
Organism: Paramuricea clavata
Lineage: Eukaryota; Metazoa; Cnidaria; Anthozoa; Malacalcyonacea; Plexauridae
Source: the annotation of a GenBank genome assembly